GUCUUUCUCUUCGUUUUUAAUUCCGGUGUGAAGAAAAUUAGAAGAACAAUUCCGGUGCGAGUAGCGGCUUAAAGGAUUUUCUUCAUCUCCCACCAAACCUUCAUAGCGAGUAGCGGCUUAAAGGAUUCACUGCAAUCACCGCCAAAGAUUGAGACCAAUUGAGAGCAAUUGCCUGACAAGUAAAAUCAAGGUACAUUAUCAAAGGCAGGAGCCGCAGGACUGCAUCAAUUGCACAAGGAAGUGCCAACUUUGUCAGUGAUGGAAAUAUGGCGUCAUUUCACUCGGAGAAAUGUUGAAGAACCCUCUUGCAAUUACUGUGGAAGGACUUAUAGGGCUAACAUGUCCAGAAAUGGAACUUCUGCCUUGUGGAAUGCUUAGAAGUUGCAAUAAUGCUUAGAAGU
This is a long non-coding RNA of Papaver somniferum (opium poppy), 401 nucleotides long. RefSeq lists it as uncharacterized. The transcript has 4 exons. The record is from RefSeq and is a predicted model, not a curated record. Lineage: Eukaryota; Viridiplantae; Streptophyta; Magnoliopsida; Ranunculales; Papaveraceae.